Mycena vulgaris is the source of this 100-nucleotide non-coding RNA. NCBI's taxonomy places the organism in Eukaryota, Fungi, Basidiomycota, Agaricomycetes, Agaricales, Mycenaceae. The record is from the annotation of a GenBank genome assembly.
GAUCUGAUAGCAUAACUGGUUAGUGCACCUGCUCAGCAUGUAUUUUAUACAAGACGAACGUUUCAGGCAGCAGAUCCCCGUUCGAUCCGGGGUCAGGUUG